RNAcentral lists this ribosomal RNA (415 nucleotides) under uncultured bacterium. RNAcentral describes it as "bacterial SSU rRNA". It matches the Rfam family "Bacterial small subunit ribosomal RNA", at positions 387 to 793 of the family's 1533-position model. The record is from RNAcentral.
UGCAGCCAUGCCGCGUGUGUGAAGAAGCCGUUCGGGUUGUAAAGCACUUUCAGUAGGGAGGAAGGUAGUGAGUUUAACACCUGCAUUAUUUGACGUUACCUACAGAAGAAGCACCGGCUAACUCCGUGCCAGCAGCCGCGGUAAUACGGAGGGUGCGAGCGUUAAUCGGAAUUACUGGGCGUAAAGCGCAUGCAGGCGGCCUGUUAAGUCAGAUGUGAAAGCCCGGGGCUUAACCUCGGAAUUGCAUUUGAAACUGGCAGGCUAGAGUCUUGUAGAGGGGGGUAGGAAUUUCAGGUGUAGCGGUGAAAUGCGUAGAGAUCUGAAGGAAUACCAGUGGCGAAGGCGGCCCCCUGGACAAAGACUGACGCUCAGAUGCGAAAGCGUGGGGAGCAAACAGGAUUAGAUACCCUGGUAG